Syngnathus acus (greater pipefish) is the source of this 1201-nucleotide long non-coding RNA. RefSeq lists it as uncharacterized. The transcript has 4 exons. NCBI's taxonomy places the organism in Eukaryota, Metazoa, Chordata, Actinopteri, Syngnathiformes, Syngnathidae. The record is from RefSeq and is a predicted model, not a curated record.
UAGCCGACUUCAUUGCCUGGGAAUAUGGCGGCGCGCCGGCUCAAUCGCUGAUGAAUGUUUCAAUUAAAGAAAGCCAAAGGGCUAAAAGGGAGCCAGCUGGCGAUGGAGGUGCAGUGGAAGCAAGUGUUGCUGAUUUGAGUGGCAGGUGCUGAUCCAUGCAGCCUUUGAGGAAAGCUUUUCCUUUUGGAUGGAGCCUGCCUUGAGCUGCAUUCAUGCAACAUGCACUACGCACUGUCAUGGAAUUGUUUGGCUUUCCUUGGUGGCGCUGAACAAAGUGUUCCAGUGUGCAGUGGGAGCAGCGAAUGCAGACAUGGUGUCUGUACAGGGAGUUCCUGUCCCUGGCCCAAACCCACAGACCCUCAGCAGAGAAGGACAAGGUCAAACACGGCCUCCACUUUCACUUCACAACUUGUCAUCCUUAAGAGGAGCGAAAUGCCGUCGGCGGGGAAGCUUCUCCUGUUCAGGCUUGUCGGGCGAGCACAAUAGCCUUGCUCUGAAUAACGUGGCCGCGAGCUAGUUUAUUCAAGCGCCUUUUGUUUGUGCUCCGCGCUCACCUUUUCCCUUCACUGAUGAUCAGAUAAGCAGCAGCAGCAGACAAGAGGGCAGAGAAAGCCAAACUAUCUGCUGAGAUGGCCUUUCCGUCAUUUCACGGAGAUUUCGCAACGUGGGGCUUGCGCAUCCUUCGAAGGAAUACAAGAAAAUUCCUCAGAGGUGAAAAUAUGAAUGCCAAAUACGGUUGGGAUGGCACACUAAAGUAGUCACCGGGCUUUUUUUCCCAAGCUACUCCAGUAUUCAGUUUCUCUAUUUACCCAUUAGGCUAAGCGGGGGUCACGCAGUGGACGUGUGAGUUGCGCAACAGCUGCCCUUUUGAUGCCACUACCUUCCACCCAACGUGGGUGCAAAAGUCAUCCUAAGAUGAAAAAUAGCACAAGCGUUAAAUGUCGAUGCGGAGGAAUAAAGCGUCGUCGCCAGCGGCUCGGACUCAGUCCGCCAUGCAGUUCUCCAAACAAAUAAAACCUCACAGGUGCAUUUAACACACCAAUACUCUUAAUGGAUCAAGCUGCUUCUUUGCAUGGCCCUAUUGAGACCUUUAGAUAAACUCAAAAUGGCCUGUGAUAAAAUUAAAACCAGGGCUGCUUUAAACACUUAGAAAUAAUAAGCAAUCAAAACAUAACAGCUCGGCUGCUUCAGUUUUAGUAAG